GAAGUAUUGGCUUUCAAGCAGCAUGGAGCCAAACCUAAGUUCGGUAACAAAUUCAUUAGGGAAUCAAUGGCUGAUCACUUGGCUGAUCUACUAGGAGAUCUGGAACAACCCAGACGGAAGCAGGCUCUCCUCAACUACUGCCCUUUAAAGAUGUAUAGUCGAUCCUUGUUAUUUGUGAAUUCCGCAUUUGUCAAUUUGCCUACUCACUAAAAUCUUGUAACCUCUCAAAUCAAUACUCAUGGUGCUUUGCAGUCAUUCAUAGACAAGCUUAGAGUGGCCUGAAAAAAUUUAGUUGCCCAAGAUACAUGUCCAACAUGAGGCCACACAAGGAAAGGCUCUGAUUUCUCAGUUCAGCUCUCAUACUGGACGUACGUAUCCUUUUUGCAGUCUACUUAAUGCCACAAUAUUUGCAUUUUUGCACUCUUUGUUGGUGAUUUCACUAUUUAAAAUAGUCCCUGAGCCUAGUGCUAGGGCUGAAGUGCUGUUCAGCAUUCCUAAACACAAAGCUGAUAUGCCCUAGAGAUAACAGGUUUCAUUAACAUAUGAAUUAUGUUAACUCAUGGCUAUUGGCCAUGAGUUCAAUGCUAAUGAUUCAACAUGACAUCAGGGAUCUUGAAACAAAACCACACAUUAUAUAAGUUUACCUGUUGACGAGAUAACGAAAACGCUCUAACUAGAAGCUCACAGGAACCUCACCUCUAAAUUCCCCUAGAAGCAAUGGCUCAGUAUUCUCCAACUCUGUGUCCAAAGCAAUUUUAUGGAAUGUAACUAUUCCCAUAAUGAGAAUGAACAGUAUUUCCUGUGACCAUGAAAAAAAAGAAGUCUUUAUAGAGGUCUCUAAACCAGUUCUCAAAGAGUUAAGAGAGACAGUAUUAAAAAUGCGUUGGACAGUUUGAAGUCUGACAGUUGGACAAAGUCACUGCUAAAGACUGAGACUAAGGAUGAGAUGGGAGAUUAUUGCUUUCCAAAACAAACCAUUAUGCAUUACUGGAUUUUUCUAAACCAUAGUUUGCUUAAACCAUCACUAUAAAUUUAUAGGGGGAGAAGGAAAAAACUUAAUUCAUCACUUAAAUAUCUUUUCACCCCUGCCCUUUGAGUUCCAAGAAACAUAAAUCAUUUUAAUCCUGAUUAAGAGACACUGUUCACUUCGGUUUCUUGAUCUACAAAAUGAGAAAGAUAAUAGUACCUCUCUUAUGGUUCCUAUAUGCACUAAAUGAAGUCAUGUAUAUGAAGGAAUUAGCACCAUCCCAUUAGGAUGUAAGCCAGAGCUGUGAGGAAGGCACAGUGUAAACUGAACAGGAUGGGGUAGGAGGACCAUUGUCUCUGAAGGCUUAACUCUGGGCAGAACCUCUCAGGCCAUCAAAGUAUGUUCCCAGCUGACUCCACUGAUAUCCUCCUCAUGGCAGCCUUUUGGUUUGGGUUAUCAUCUUUGAUUUUUCUGAAGUCCUUAUCUGCCUCAAUCCAUUAUAACCAGAAGAUAAUGUUUAGGAGCAUGAGAUGUGAGCUCACACAGAUCUGGGUUUGUAUUCUGACUCAAACAUGUACUAGCUGUGUGAUCUGGUGCAAGUUUGUCAACCUCUCUGAGCCUCAGGGUCCUCAACUCCCUGAAGCCCAGUGUCCUCAUCGGGAAUAGAAGGAUAGUAUAUGCCUUAAAUUUUUCAUUUAAUCUUCCUAAGAGUUUAUUAGUCAAGAUCUUCUGAGAAGCAGAUGACAAGUCAUAAUUAAAUGAGUAAGGAAUUUAUACUAAUGGAGAAUACUGUCAACUGGGCAAAGAGUUUCUGUUUGAAAUGAUGGAAAAACUGGAAAUAUGACAACGGAUGUACAACACUGUGAAUAUAAUUAAUGCCACGGCAUCAUGCACUUUAAAAUGUUUCAGCGGCAAAUUUUAUGUUAUAUAUUUUACCGCCAUUUGUAAGAAAUGAACUUACGAGGGGAAGCACCUAUACAACAAAAUGGGAAGGGACUUGCAAGAGGCUGGGAGAACCAUCAGACUACAACGCAGGUAGGACCUCAAGUGAAGAAAAGAAAGGAAGAUUGGCUGGAAAGGCCUUAGACUACAGUGCACUUCUAAGAAGAGCUCUUAAGACCAGUAAUGGGCCUCCUAAGAACCAUUGCAACGCCUCAGCCAGUUGGGAGCAGCCCAUGGGAAGCAUGUUGUUGGCACGAAGUCAUUGAUGGAUUUCAGAGCGCAGCAGCUAGGGCCAUUAGUUAUUCAUGUCUUUUGUACCUACAGAUCUGCGAGGCACACUCUCAUGGCUGGACUAUCACCAGGAUCCUCCAUGUCAAGGUACUUAGCAUGAAAAGAAAGCGGAGAGUAAAAGUAGUGGUAAUUUCUAUACUGAUCAUCAAUAUCAUUGUCAAUUAUCAUCUUGACCUUUAUCUCACUAAAGUUUCUUGAAAGUAACAUGCAACCAAUUCAAGUUAAAUCAUUUCCAACAUUUUGUGCCAGUUGUAGUAAGGCUUAUUGAUUGUGAUACUCAUUGUACUGCAUUGUAAACAUUAGAGUUAUUAAACCUGGAGUUCCCAUUGUGGUGCAGUGGUUAACGAAUCCGACUAGGAACCAUGAGGUUGCGGGUUUGGUCCCUGCCCUUGCUCAGUGGGUUAACGAUCCGGCGUUGCCGUGGGCUGUGGUGUAGGUUGCAGAUGCGGCUCGGAUCCCGCGUUGCUGUAGCUCUGGCAUAGGCCAGCGGCUACAGCUCCGAUUCAACCCCUAGCCUGGGAACCUCCAUAUGCCACGGAAGCGGCCGAAAGAAAUAGCAAAAAGACCAAAAAAAAAAAAAAAA
This 2783-nucleotide long non-coding RNA is filed under the name Sus scrofa (pig). RNAcentral's name for it is "lncRNA (ENSSSCG00015046668.1)". Lineage: Eukaryota; Metazoa; Chordata; Mammalia; Artiodactyla; Suidae. The record is from RNAcentral.